GAGAGAUUGCAAACCCGAUGCCUCUUGUUGCAAUGACAUUUCAGGAAGUGAAAGUUGAAAAAAAGGGGAGACCUUAGAAAUUUGAGGGGGGCGGGGGGAGGAAGCUGCGAUGAGAGUUUCUGCUUCAUACAGGAAACAGCUGGCCAGGGUGGUCUGAGGCUCUGGAUAUAAGUGUUGGAUGUGAAGCAGGCUUGCCGGCAGUCACACACAGAGAGACACUGCCCUACACAGGCACCAGAAGCCCUUGGAGUUACCUUUUCCCUCAGGGACCUCCACACAGGUCAGUCCUAAGGUGUUUUUCGAGUCCUGUGCAUGAGAGAAGUGAUAACCUGGUAACCCUGGAGAUUGCAUACAUUCUGGCUCUAAGACAUCAUUUGCUGCUGUUUUUAACUUUUUUCUUUGAGGGGUCUUUGGAAAAAAACAAUUUUGGUUGCA
Molecule: long non-coding RNA, 435 nt
Organism: Mus musculus (house mouse)
Lineage: Eukaryota; Metazoa; Chordata; Mammalia; Rodentia; Muridae
Product: predicted gene, 34718
Exons: 2
Source: RefSeq, a predicted model, not a curated record